CCGGCGAGGGGAGUGAAAAAGAACCUGAAACCGUGUACGUACAAGCAGUGGGAGCACCUUCGGGUGUGACUGCGUACCUUUUGUAUAAUGGGUCAGCGACUUAUAUUCUGUAGCAAGGUUAACCGUAUAGGGGAGCCGCAGGGAAACCGAGUCUUAACUGGGCGUUAAGUUGCAGGGUAUAGACCCGAAACCCGGUGAUCUAGCCAUGGGCAGGUUGAAGGUUGGGUAACACUAACUGGAGGACCGAACCGACUAAUGUUGAAAAAUUAGCGGAUGACUUGUGGCUGGGGGUGAAAGGCCAAUCAAACCGGGAGAUAGCUGGUUCUCCCCGAAAGCUAUUUAGGUAGCGCCUCGUGAACUCAUCUUCGGGGGUAGAGCACUGUUUCGGCUAGGGGGUCAUCCCGACUUACCAACCCGAUGCAAACUACGAAUACCGAAGAAUGUUAUCACGGGAGACACACGGCGGGUGCUAACGUCCGUCGUGAAGAGGGAAACAACCCAGACCGCCAGCUAAGGUCCCAAAGUCAUGGUUAAGUGGGAAACGAUGUGGGAAGGCACAGACAGCCAGGAUGUUGGCUUAGAAGCAGCCAUCAUUUAAAGAAAGCGUAAUAGCUCACUGGUCGAGUCGGCCUGCGCGGAAGAUGUAACGGGGCUAAACCAUGCACCGAAGCUGCGGCAGCGACACUAUGUGUUGUUGGGUAGGGGAGCGUUCUGUAAGCCUGCGAAGGUGUGCUGUGAGGCAUGCUGGAGGUAUCAGAAGUGCGAAUGCUGACAUAAGUAACGAUAAAGCGGGUGAAAAGCCCGCUCGCCGGAAGACCAAGGGUUCCUGUCCAACGUUAAUCGGGGCAGGGUGAGUCGACCCCUAAGGCGAGGCCGAAAGGCGUAGUCGAUGGGAAACAGGUUAAUAUUCCUGUACUUGGUGUUACUGCGAAGGGGGGACGGAGAAGGCUAUGUUAGCCGGGCGACGGUUGUC
This 973-nucleotide ribosomal RNA is filed under the name Klebsiella pneumoniae. Its description in RNAcentral is "partial 23S ribosomal RNA". It matches the Rfam family "Bacterial large subunit ribosomal RNA", at positions 526 to 1506 of the family's 2925-position model. Lineage: Bacteria; Pseudomonadati; Pseudomonadota; Gammaproteobacteria; Enterobacterales; Enterobacteriaceae. The record is from RNAcentral.